This 460-nucleotide ribosomal RNA is filed under the name uncultured bacterium. Its description in RNAcentral is "partial 16S ribosomal RNA". It matches the Rfam family "Bacterial small subunit ribosomal RNA", at positions 338 to 795 of the family's 1533-position model. The record is from RNAcentral.
CCUACGGGAGGCAGCAGUGAGGAAUAUUGGUCAAUGGACGAGAGUCUGAACCAGCCAAGUAGCGUGAAGGAUGACUGCCCUAUGGGUUGUAAACUUCUUUUAUAAAGGAAUAAAACGAGGCACGUGUGCCUUUUUGCAUGUACUUUAUGAACAAGGAUCGGCGAACUCCGUGCCUGCAGCCGCGGUAAUCCGGAGGAUCCGUGCGUUGUCCGGAUUUAUUGGGUUUAAAGGGAGCGUAGAUGGGUUGUUAAGUCGGUUGUGAAAGUUUGCGGCUCAACCGUAAAAUUGCAAUUGAUACUGGCAGUCUUGAGUACAGGUGAGGUAGGCGGAAUUCGUGGUGUAGCAGUGAAAUGCUUAGAUAUCACGAAGAACCCCGAUGGCGAAGGCAGCUUACUAAACUGUGACUGACAUUGAUGCUCGAAAGUGUGGGUAGCAAACAGGAUUAGAUACCCCAGUAGUC